CCUGGCGGCACUAGCGCGGUGGUCCCACCUGACCCCAUGCCGAACUCAGAAGUGAAACGCCGUAGCGCCGAUGGUAGUGUGGGGUCUCCC
Molecule: ribosomal RNA, 90 nt
Filed under: Klebsiella pneumoniae
Lineage: Bacteria; Pseudomonadati; Pseudomonadota; Gammaproteobacteria; Enterobacterales; Enterobacteriaceae
Also listed under: 8 other names
Source: RNAcentral